UACAGAGGUGGCAAGCGUUGUUCGGAAUUACUGGGCGUAAAGGGCGCGUAGGCGGCCUUCUAAGUCAGACGUGAAAUCCCCCGGCUUAACCUGGGAACUGCGUCUGAUACUGGGAGGCUAGAGUAUGGGAGAGGGAUGUAGAAUUCCAGGUGUAGCGGUGAAAUGCGUAGAUAUCUGGAGGAAUACCGGUGGCGAAGGCGGCAUCCUGGACCAUUACUGACGCUGAGGCGCGAAAGCUAGGGGAGCAAACGGG
This 253-nucleotide ribosomal RNA is filed under the name uncultured bacterium. Its description in RNAcentral is "partial 16S ribosomal RNA". It matches the Rfam family "Bacterial small subunit ribosomal RNA", at positions 524 to 776 of the family's 1533-position model. The record is from RNAcentral.